CUACAAUAACAGAAAACAAACAAGGGUCUAUAUAAAGGAGUACUGAAAAAUGAACCUAAUAUGAGAUCUCCUAUAAGGCUAACAACAUAACUUCCGAAUCCAAAUACAAACCUUCCUCCCUACAUAUCAUCUAAUAGUUCUGUGAAUAAUCAAAGCUCAAAGGUUGACCAAAUGGAGUCGGCAAAGAAAAAUAAAGGUAUCUUAGCAGUUGCAAUAUAGAACAUCUAAAAUCAGAGAAUUUAAAAAGGAAGUGAAAAAACUAUUCCAUGUCCGAGAGGCAAAUUCAUACAUAGAAAAAUUAAUCAUCCAUAAAGUGAUUCCUUUAAUUGGACAAGUUAUUCAACUUUGUUCAAAAAGAAAGUGUUGAUAGAAAGGGAAAAUAACACUACAAGCUGAUUCUUUAUUAAAUGCAUAUGCUUCCCCUUACAUUACAAGUUCAUUAUAAGCCAAAAUAUUCUCAAAUAUUUAAGAAAAGUUAACUACAUCACCAUCACAAAUUGGUGAUGACUUGAGAAGAAGAAGAGAGCUGAAGAUCACGAGUCCUACAACUUGUAACAAACAUGUGGACUUGGCUAACUUAUUGAUCAAGUAACUAAUUAAAAUACAUUUGAAAUUCAGCUAAUUAACUAACUCUAAUACUCCCCCUCAAAUUGGAGGUUGAGGAUUAUUAUUUGUUUGCUUCUUGUUGUUUGUAUUGAUAUUUAUGAGAUAUGAAAUGACACCUUGCCAACUGAACCUACUUGGCUGUGUUGCAACCCUUUAUACCAUAAUCAGCAUGUUGCUUGAGUAAAAAAAAAGGUUAUACAAACUUUGCCCAUGACCAAGAACUCAUAAUUAAAGUUCAAUCCUCCAAACUGAUCAAAUUAACUAAUCUGCCAUUUUUUUAAUAACCCCGGCUAGUCUUGUUAGUGUUGUUAUCUUUCCAGAUGAGGAUGCAGAUCAACAAAUAUAUAAUAUAGAUGCAAUUACAGCACUAUCUUGCAUGUAUGCAUUAAACAAAUUACUUAUCUGUGCCCCCAAUAUUAGACAAAUAUAUAUUUUAAAUCCACAACAUAAACAUUAUCAAAUAUGUUAUAACAAAUGCAUAAAUCCACUAGAGUUCACUAUUUUAUAAACUGUAACAUAAGAAGUACUGUAACCAUCAAAACUGAAAAUCAAAGUCAUACAUACUACAAUAACAAAAAACAAACAAGGGUCUAUAUAAAGGAGUACUGAAAAAUGAACCUAAUAUGAGAUCUCCUAUAAGGCUAACAACAUAACUUCUGAAUCCAAAUACAAACCUUCCUCCCUACAUAUCAUCUAAUAGUUAAAACUGUAACAUAAGAAGUACUGUAACCAUCAAAACUGAAAAUCAAAGUCAUACAUACUACAAUAACAGAAAACAAACAAGGGUCUAUAUAAAGGAGUACUGAAAAAUGAACCUAAUAUGAGAUCUCAUAU
RNAcentral lists this long non-coding RNA (1440 nucleotides) under Lathyrus oleraceus (garden pea). RNAcentral describes it as "Pisum sativum (pea) long non-coding RNA (PSAT_LNC040274)". Lineage: Eukaryota; Viridiplantae; Streptophyta; Magnoliopsida; Fabales; Fabaceae. The record is from RNAcentral.